GACGAACGCUGGCGGCAGGCCUAACACAUGCAAGUCGAACGAGCGGCGGACGGGUGAGUAAUGUAUGGGUAUCUGCCCGAUGGAGGGGGAUAACUACUGGAAACGGUAGCUAAUACCGCAUACCAUCAGAUGUGCCCAGAUGGGAUUAGCUUGUGGGUGGGGUAAAGGCUCACCUAGGCGACGAUCUCUCGCUGGUCUGAGAGGAUGAUCAGCAACAUUGGGACUGAGACACGGCCCAGAGUCCUACGGGAGGCAGCAGUGGGGAAUAUUGCACAAUGGGCUCAAGCCUGAUACAGCCAUGCCGCGUGUAUGAAGAAGGCCUUCGGGGUGUAAAGUACUUUCAGCGGGGAGGGGUUACCCGCAGAAGAAGCACCGGCUAACUCCGUGCCAGCGGCCGCGGUAAUUC
This 406-nucleotide ribosomal RNA is filed under the name uncultured bacterium. RNAcentral describes it as "partial 16S ribosomal RNA". It matches the Rfam family "Bacterial small subunit ribosomal RNA", at positions 28 to 526 of the family's 1533-position model. The record is from RNAcentral.